Molecule: ribosomal RNA, 414 nt
Filed under: uncultured bacterium
Lineage: Bacteria
Description: bacterial SSU rRNA
Rfam family: Bacterial small subunit ribosomal RNA
Source: RNAcentral
AUUGAACGCUGGCGGCAUGCCUUACACAUGCAAGUCGAACGGCAGCACGGGAGCAAUCCUGGUGGCGAGUGGCGAACGGGUGAGUAAUAUAUCGGAACGUGCCCAGUCGUGGGGAUAACGUAGCGAAAGCUACGCUAAUACCGCAUACGAUCUAUGGAUGAAAGCGGGGGAUCGCAAGACCUCGCGCGAUUGGAGCGGCCGAUAUCAGAUUAGGUAGUUGGUGAGGUAAAGGCUCGCCAAGCCGACGAUCUGUAGCUGGUCUGAGAGGACGACCAGCCACACUGGGACUGAGACACGGCCCAGACUCCUACGGAGGCAGCAGUGGGAAUUUUGGACAAUGGGCGCAAGCCUGAUCCAGCAAUGCCGCGUGCAGGAUGAAGGCCUCGGUGUAACUGCUUUGUACGUACGAACGGU